This 495-nucleotide ribosomal RNA is filed under the name uncultured bacterium. RNAcentral's name for it is "bacterial SSU rRNA". It matches the Rfam family "Bacterial small subunit ribosomal RNA", at positions 29 to 518 of the family's 1533-position model. The record is from RNAcentral.
AUGAACGCUAGCGACAGGCCUAACACAUGCAAGUCGAGGGGCAGCACAAGGAGCAAUCUGAGGUGGCGACCGGCGCACGGGUGAGUAACACGUAUGCAACCUGCCUGUAAGCGGGGAAUAACCCGUUGAAAGACGGACUAAUACCGCAUAAUACUAAAUUACUGCAUGGUAAUUUAUUUAAACAUUUAUGGCUUACAGAUGGGCAUGCGCAUGAUUAGCUAGUUGGAGAGGUAACGGCUCCCCAAGGCAACGAUCAUUAGGGGUUCUGAGAGGAAGGUCCCCCACACUGGUACUGAGGCACGGACCAGACUCCUACGGGAGGCAGCAGUGAGGAAUAUUGGUCAAUGGACGAGAGUCUGAACCAGCCAAGUCGCGUGCAGGAAGAAUGUCCCUAUGGAUUGUAAACUGCUUUUGCAGGGGAAUAAAGUGCAUCACGUGUGAUGUUUUGUAUGUACUCUGCGAAUAAGGAUCGGCUAACUCCGUGCCAGCCGCCGC